This 253-nucleotide ribosomal RNA is filed under the name uncultured bacterium. Its description in RNAcentral is "partial 16S ribosomal RNA". It matches the Rfam family "Bacterial small subunit ribosomal RNA", at positions 524 to 776 of the family's 1533-position model. The record is from RNAcentral.
UACGUAGGGUGCAAGCGUUAAUCGGAAUUACUGGGCGUAAAGCGUGCGCAGGCGGUUUGCUAAGAGAGGUGUGAAAUCCCCGGGCUUAACCUGGGAACUGCGCUUCUAACUGGCAGGCUAGAGUGUGGCAGAGGGGGGUGGAAUUCCACGUGUAGCAGUGAAAUGCGUAGAGAUGUGGAGGAACACCGAUGGCGAAGGCAGCCCCCUGGGCUAACACUGACGCUCAUGCACGAAAGCGUGGGGAGCAAACAGG